RNAcentral lists this long non-coding RNA (657 nucleotides) under Lepisosteus oculatus (spotted gar). RNAcentral describes it as "lncRNA (ENSLOCG00000021013.1)". The record is from RNAcentral. Lineage: Eukaryota; Metazoa; Chordata; Actinopteri; Semionotiformes; Lepisosteidae.
UGGGGCUUCUGCGCUGACAUGAACACAUGCUGCAGCCCCCAUCGAGAAACCACAUCGCAAGCAGUGUAAGAAAGAAUGCAGAGGAAACAGCCUUAACAAGAAAUACCCUUCUGAUGAGCUGCUUGGAACUGCUGAAAUUUUACCAGCCACCCAUUGCACUUCUGCUUGUUCUGGUGAAUUUAAUCAGCUGAAAUUAAACCUGCAUGGUACUGGGACCACAGCCCUUUGCAUUUCUGCUUUCUACAGACCCGUAUCCACCAGUUGUGCCUUCUCACGUAAGCUAAUUAAACAGUUUUCUUUCUGUGCAGGGUGUAAAAACAGCUCACUACCAAUAUUUAGUUUCACUUAGGAAUAUCAGGACAGGUAGCUGUUCAUCCCUUCUGAAGCCCAAGGCAGAAGCAGCACCAGACCCCCGCAGACGGCUCUGUCCACAUGCACCAGACCCACACUGCUUUCUCCUCUUUCCUGCCGAGAAGGUGAUGCAGAAGCAGUGCCAGUCAACUCCCGUCUGGAUAGGAAUCUUGCCGAGUGCUGGAUCACAAGACUCAAUGUGUUUUUCUAAGCCUAAUUUAAAACCCUAAUUGUUUUUCUCCUCCUACACGCACAAGUACAAGAUUUUGUUCCUCCUCCUGGCAGGACAUGAUGAAUCACUCUGUU